CAGCCAGAUUAGCGCGUACAGAGCUGUAUAAGUCUGUAUAGCUGGCACUGUACGGCUUAUACAGCCCUGGACAGGGUCACCGAACAGGCCCUUACUGAUCAGGGGUAUCGCCGUUUCGCCAUGGUCCGAACCAAAUUCAUGUGUCUCCUCUGAGGGAGCAUCUAUCAUCUUCCCAUCUUCCAAAUCAACAAUCCAGUUUUUAGACACCUGCCACUGCUACUGCUCCAUAGCUCUGAGCCAAAAACCAAGUCAUUUAGUUUGCCCCAGAUGGUGCCUAAACGCAACACUCCGCUUUCCUUCAUGGAAAAGCUGUCGUUUGCAGUGUCUCUACCGCCCUCCCACGUCUAUACCCACGCUUCCGACCACUGAUCCUGAGCUUGUGCUUAUUCUAGGCUGGAUGGAUGCGCGCGUUGCCCACUUAGCGACAUACAUUAAACAGUAUCAGACUAUGUACCCUUCUUCGCCC
Molecule: small RNA, 466 nt
Filed under: Histoplasma capsulatum var. duboisii H88
Lineage: Eukaryota; Fungi; Ascomycota; Eurotiomycetes; Onygenales; Ajellomycetaceae
Description: Histoplasma capsulatum H88 hypothetical RNA
Source: RNAcentral